AUGGAGGGGUAAGCCCCUGCCUUCUGCCUUUCCUGCCUUGGACUCUUGCAAUUGGGCCAGAUGAGAGGGUCCAUGUGGUCUGAGAAUUCAAGCAAUGCAGGCCAGGCAUGGUGGCUCACACCUGUAAUCCCAGGACUUUUGGAGGCUAAGGUGGGCAGGCCAGGAGUUUGAGACCAGGUGGCCAAAAUAGUGAAACCCUGUCUCUACAAAAAAUACAAAAGUUAGUCGGGCUUGGUGGUGCAUGCCUGUAAUCCUAGUUAUUUGGGAGGCUGAAGCAAGAGAAUCCCUUGAACCCAGAAGGAGCAGGUUGCAGUGAGGAGCAGGUUGCAAUGAGGAGGAGGUUGCAGUGAGGAGGAGGUUGUAGUGAGGAGCAGGUUGCAGUGAGGAGGAGGUUGCAGUGAGGAGGAGGUCGCAGUAAGGAGGAGGUUGCAGUGAGGAGGAGGUCGCAGUGAGGAGGAGGUUGCAGUGAGGAGGAGGUUGUAGUGAGGAGCAGGUUGCAAUGAGUAGGAGGUUGCAGUGAGGAG
Molecule: long non-coding RNA, 524 nt
Filed under: Homo sapiens (human)
Lineage: Eukaryota; Metazoa; Chordata; Mammalia; Primates; Hominidae
Description: HSALNT0133232
Source: RNAcentral